ACGCUGGCGGCGUGCCUAAUACAUGCAAGUCGAGCGAGAUGUUAGCGCAUGAACCUUCGGGGGAUUAUGCUAACGGACAGCGGCGGACGGGUGAGUAACGCGUAGGCAACCUGCCCCUGACAGAGGGAUAGCCAUUGGAAACGAUGAUUAAAACCUCAUGACACCGUAGAAGCACAUGCUUCAUCGGUCAAAGAUUUAUCGGUCAGGGAUGGGCCUGCGUCUGAUUAACUAGUUGGUGAGGUAACGGCUCACCAAGGUGACGAUCAGUAGCCGACCUGAGAGGGUAAUCGGCCACAUUGGAACUGAGACACGGUCCAAACUUCUACGGAAGGCAGCAGUAGGGAAUCCUGCACAAUGGGCGAAAGCCUGAUGCAGCAACGCCGCGUGAAGGAUGAAGGCCUUCGGGUUGUAAACUUCUGUUCUAAGGGAAGAAACAAAUGACGGUACCUUAGGAGCAAGCCCCGGCUAACUACGUGCCAGCAGCCGCGGUAAUACGUAGGGGGCAAGCGUUAUCCGGAAUUAUUGGGCGUAAAGAGUGCGUAGGUGGUUACCUAAGCGCAAGGUUUAAUUUAGAGGCUCAACCUCUACUUGCCUUGCGAACUGGGCUACUUGAGUGCAGGAGGGGAAAGCGGAAUUCCUAGUGUAGCGGUGAAAUGCGUAGAUAUUAGGAGGAACACCAGCGGCGAAGGCGGCUUUCUGGACUGUAACUGACACUGAGGCACGAAAGCGUGGGUAGCAAACAGGAUUAGAUACCCUGGUAGUCCACGCCGUAAACGAUGAGCACUAGGUGUUGGGCCCGUUAGGGCUCAGUGCCGCAGUUAACGCAAUAAGUGCUCCGCCUGGGGAGUACGCUCGCAAGAGUAAAACUCAAAGGAAUUGACGGGGACCCGCACAAGCAGCGGAGCAUGUGGUUUAAUUCGAAGCAACGCGA
This 931-nucleotide ribosomal RNA is filed under the name uncultured bacterium. Its description in RNAcentral is "bacterial SSU rRNA". It matches the Rfam family "Bacterial small subunit ribosomal RNA", at positions 33 to 964 of the family's 1533-position model. The record is from RNAcentral.